ACAAAAAUAGUGUUGAUAAUUGACCCGUAUUGGAAAAUUAUCCUUUUUGAUCAAUGUGUAGGCCGUUCAAGCGAAGCAUCAGAAUGAUUGGGAAGUUGUGAAACAUGGUUGGCAUGCUCAGGUACUUGGUGAUCCCCCACCCAAAUAGAUGAAGAACAUGCCCAGACAAGAAUAUGUAGCUCACUUGAGAUGGUAAUUUGGUGCUACUGAUGUGAAACUUUCUGGUGAACCAAAACUCCCCUUUUUUCUGCACCCAUUCUCAAUGGAC
RNAcentral lists this long non-coding RNA (268 nucleotides) under Helianthus annuus (common sunflower). RNAcentral describes it as "sRNA HanXRQr2_Chr03g0094651". The record is from RNAcentral. Lineage: Eukaryota; Viridiplantae; Streptophyta; Magnoliopsida; Asterales; Asteraceae.